This 253-nucleotide ribosomal RNA is filed under the name uncultured bacterium. Its description in RNAcentral is "partial 16S ribosomal RNA". It matches the Rfam family "Archaeal small subunit ribosomal RNA", at positions 474 to 727 of the family's 1478-position model. The record is from RNAcentral.
UACCAGCACCCCGAGUGGUCGGGACGAUUAUUGGGCCUAAAGCAUCCGUAGCCGGUUCUGCAAGUCCCCCGUUAAAUCCGGCUGCUCAACAGAUGGGCCGCGGAGGAUACUCCAGAGCUAGGAGGCAGGAGAGGCAAGCGGUACUCAGUGGGUAGGGGUAAAAUCCGUUGAUCCAUUGAAGACCACCAGUGGCGAAGGCGGCUUGCCAGAAUGCGCUCGACGGUGAGGGAUGAAAGCUGGGGGAGCAAACCGG